GUGAAUCAUCGAAUCUUUGAACGCACAUUGCGCCCCUUGGUAUUCCGAGGGGCAUGCCUGUUCGAGCGUCAUUUCAACCCCUCAAGCUCUGCUUGGUGUUGGGCCGCGCAGCUGCUCCGGCGGCGGGCCCUAAAAUCAGUUGGCGGUGCCGUCGCGGCUCCAAGCGUAGUAGCAAACCUCUCGCUCUGGAGACCCGGCGGUUGCUUGCCAGACAACCCCCCCCCAGAAUUUUAUUCUCUCACGGUUGACCUCGGAUCAGGUAGGGAUACCCGCUGAACUUAAGCAUAUCAAUAAGCGGAGGA
This 302-nucleotide unclassified non-coding RNA is filed under the name Scytalidium sp. RNAcentral's name for it is "partial contains 5.8S ribosomal RNA, internal transcribed spacer 2, and large subunit ribosomal RNA". The stretch from base 1 to 71 matches the Rfam family "5.8S ribosomal RNA", at positions 84 to 154 of the family's 154-position model. Lineage: Eukaryota; Fungi; Ascomycota; Leotiomycetes. The record is from RNAcentral.